This is a long non-coding RNA of Spinacia oleracea (spinach), 877 nucleotides long. RefSeq lists it as uncharacterized. The record is from RefSeq and is a predicted model, not a curated record. The transcript is spliced from 3 exons. NCBI's taxonomy places the organism in Eukaryota, Viridiplantae, Streptophyta, Magnoliopsida, Caryophyllales, Amaranthaceae.
UUCUCCUCACCGAAGCAAUUGAUUGCAAGAGCUAAUCAAGUGCUUGGGUUUUGCCAUUCACCCAAGCACUUGGUUCUUCACAAUUCCUUCGAUUUUUGGAACCAGGUCAGAUAGUCACACAUGCUUUUACAUCCUCACCUCUCUCCCUCUCUCCCUCGCAUCCCUCGCAUCUCUCCCUCGCAUCCGUCCUCUCUCCUCUCGCAUCUCCUCUCUCAUGCUUGUUCUCCGAGCUGUAUUCACAACAGUGGUGACUUUGAAAGCGGCGUGUAUUGUGGUGAGGAUGUCGGUGGCACUUUAAUAUCUUUCUUAGGGUUCCGUGCGCUUCCGAUUUGGUUUUUCUUGAUGGGGCUUAGCCAUUGCAAACCACAUAAGUAGUGGGAGUAAGGACUUCAACAAAAUAUGAAAGAAAUAACUUAUGCAUAAGACCUAGUGGAUUCUUUAAUAAAAGCGGGAGAUAAUGUGGUGUCGUUGAUUUUCUCUCUCCUGGAUAUGGAGGUUACAGGCUCUUCAUCCUAAGCUGCUAAUGCAACAUUCAUAUGCUCUGGAGAAGCCUGCCCCCAGACAUUGCUCAUUGUGAUAAGAGUUCUAAACUCGACUUGCCAUGUUGUUGUGUGCAUAAUUCGGCACUGGCUAGGACAAAUCAGUUGAUCCUUGUGGUUACAUACUUAAAUGCCUGUGAAAGUUGUCGGGCCCUUCCAGUUUCCUCUCUGUAUAUAGUUUGUUAAAAUGCUCGUGUUAGUGUUAGUUAUGUUAACUUAUACUGUUAUACAAUAUUAGAUAUGAUAUUGAAUUAUUUACUUCUAAAUUUUGUAAAUUACUAUUGAAUAGAGUUGAGUUUAUAUUCAAGAUCGACAUUAUAGUCUUUAUUAUUAUAUAA